Musa acuminata AAA Group (dessert banana) is the source of this 641-nucleotide long non-coding RNA. RefSeq lists it as uncharacterized. The record is from RefSeq and is a predicted model, not a curated record. The transcript is spliced from 3 exons. NCBI's taxonomy places the organism in Eukaryota, Viridiplantae, Streptophyta, Magnoliopsida, Zingiberales, Musaceae.
CGUAUCGCACGCUAUACUUUGGCUUAUUGUCAUCUUCGAGGGCGGGCUACAGCUAUCCGUCACCCAGCUUGUCGACGUAAUCUGCUAUAACAAUGCAGCGAAGAAUCCCGUAGCAUGAAAUGCCGGCUGUGCUCGGCAUUCUCGUGUCGAACAAUGGACUAAAGCACCGUGCAGCUCGUUCUCGUGAAACGGCUGCAUUCCGCUGCCAUCGAAUUUGUACGUAUAUCGUCGGCUGCAACUGACCAUUUCUUUACACGGUCCCUUGCUAUCAGUGCCUGGAAAAUAGAUGGUCUACAUGAAAUGCCUCUGAAACAAUAAAGACAACUCAAAAUGUAUGGCGGACGAUUUAGAUGGCUGGUCUUACCUCUUUAUCCCAGUCACAUCGAAUGGUCAAAAUGGCCAAUAUCAAUGUCUGAAUGCCUGUUCCACCAAUCAUUCCAGCCCAAAUGCCCUGUUAUAAGAAAGUUUAGUUGGAUAUGACUUAAGAUAAUAUAAGGCCACAAGAGAAAAUUGUAAUCUUAGAUGCAAGAAUUACAUGGCAGAGGAUCUGCUCACCAGAAAGAACUGGUUGGACACUGUUGAGAAGAAUGCUGAAUGCCAAUAGGAUACAUAGCCUGUUAACAACCUCCUGAAUGACUUGA